This 459-nucleotide ribosomal RNA is filed under the name Vibrio cholerae. RNAcentral's name for it is "bacterial SSU rRNA". It matches the Rfam family "Bacterial small subunit ribosomal RNA", at positions 509 to 964 of the family's 1533-position model. Lineage: Bacteria; Pseudomonadati; Pseudomonadota; Gammaproteobacteria; Vibrionales; Vibrionaceae. The record is from RNAcentral.
CAGCAGCCGCGGUAAUACGUAGGGCGCGAGCGUUGUCCGGAAUUAUUGGGCGUAAAGAGCUUGUAGGCGGUUUGUCGCGUCUGCUGUGAAAGGCCGGAGCUUAACUCCGUGUAUUGCAGUGGGUACGGGCAGACUAGAGUGCAGUAGGGGAGACUGGAAUUCCUGGUGUAGCGGUGGAAUGCGCAGAUAUCAGGAGGAACACCGAUGGCGAAGGCAGGUCUCUGGGCUGUAACUGACGCUGAGAAGCGAAAGCAUGGGGAGCGAACAGGAUUAGAUACCCUGGUAGUCCAUGCCGUAAACGUUGGGCACUAGGUGUGGGGGACAUUCCACGUUUUCCGCGCCGUAGCUAACGCAUUAAGUGCCCCGCCUGGGGAGUACGGCCGCAAGGCUAAAACUCAAAGAAAUUGACGGGGGCCCGCACAAGCGGCGGAGCAUGCGGAUUAAUUCGAUGCAACGCGA